UACAGAGGUCUCAAGCGUUGUUCGGAUUCAUUGGGCGUAAAGGGUGCGUAGGUGGCGCCGUAAGUCAGGUGUGAAAUUUCGGAGCUUAACUCCGAAACUGCAUUUGAUACUGCGGUGCUUGAGGACUGGAGAGGAGACUGGAAUUCACGGUGUAGCAGUGAAAUGCGUAGAUAUCGUGAGGAAGACCAGUGGCGAAGGCGACUCUUUGGUCUGUAACUGACGCUGAGGCGCGAAAGCGUGGGGAGCAAACAGG
RNAcentral lists this ribosomal RNA (253 nucleotides) under uncultured bacterium. RNAcentral describes it as "partial 16S ribosomal RNA". It matches the Rfam family "Bacterial small subunit ribosomal RNA", at positions 524 to 776 of the family's 1533-position model. The record is from RNAcentral.